RNAcentral lists this ribosomal RNA (449 nucleotides) under uncultured bacterium. Its description in RNAcentral is "SSU rRNA". It matches the Rfam family "Bacterial small subunit ribosomal RNA", at positions 26 to 518 of the family's 1533-position model. The record is from RNAcentral.
AGGACGAACGCUGGCGGCGUGCUUAACACAUGCAAGUCGAGCGCCCGUAGCAAUACGGGAGCGGCAGACGGGAUAGUAACACGUGGGAACGCGCCCUUCGGUUCGGAAUAACUCAGGGAAACUUGAGCUAAUACCGAAUACGCCCUUACGGGGAAAGAUUUAUUGCCGAAGGAACGGCCCGCGUCCGAUUAGCUAGUUGGUGAGGUAAUGGCUCACCAAGGCUACGAUCGGUAGCUGGUCUGAGAGGAUGACCAGCAUCACUGGGACUGAGACACGGCCCAGACUCCUACGGGAGGCAGCAGUGGGGAAUAUUGCGCAAUGGGCGAAAGCCUGACGCAGCAACGCCGCGUGGAGGACGAAGGCUUUCUGAGUUGUAAACUCCUUUCAGCAGGGACGAUUGUGACGGUACCUGCAGAAGAAGCACCGGCCAACUACGUGCCAGCAGCCGC